AUGAGGAGUUGCUAUUCUUCUUCUUCUCUCUGUGGGAUUUCUAGAGCGGCGUGGAGGCACGUGGUGGCCGGCACCCUGAGCCUGAGCGGCAGCCACAACCAACACCGGCACAGUCUGCGCUACUUGCCCCUCAGGCCUCCCGUGCCGCCCAUUGCCCUUGGCCUCGCUGAGCGCUUCUUCUCUUCCUCCUCGCCCAAGCGCUCCACCAAGAGAUCCGCCGCAAAGAAGGCCACGCCGCCGCCGAUGGACUCUGCCGGCGGCGACCCGUUCUAUGUCGUCCGCAAGGGGGAUGUCAUCGGCAUCUACAAGAACCUCGCCGACUGCCAAGCUCAAGUCAGCAAUUCGGUCUGCGAUCCUUCUGUGACUGUGUACAAAGGCUAUUCUCUGCGUAAAGACACCGAGGAGUAUCUCGCGGCGCGCGGGUUGAAGAAUGCUCUGUAUUCCAUUAAUGCAGCAGAUGCAAGAGAUGAAUUGUUUGAUGAUCUGGCUCCCUGCCCUUUCCAGCAACCUGAUGGAACCUCUACUUUGAAAAGGCCACAAGAGGUGGAAACUGGACCAUCAAAGAAGCAUCCCAAAGUCGCUGAACAGGAGCCAUUACCUGAUAGUCAUCUAUCCUGCAUUCUUGAAUUUGAUGGUGCUUGCAAAGGAAAUCCCGGGAAAUCAGGCGCCGGUGUAGUAGUAAGGCGGUCAGAUGGAUCUGUGAUUGCUCAACUACGUGAGGGUUUGGGUAUUGCAACGAAUAACGCUGCUGAAUAUCGUGCAUUGCUCCUGGGGUUGAGAUAUGCUGCUAAGAAGGGAUUCAAGUAUGUUCGUGCUCAAGGCGAUUCUAAGCUUGUCUGUAACCAGGUCCAAGAUCUCUGGCGUGUUAGGAAUGAUAAUAUGGCUGACUUGUGCAAGAAAGUUAAGGACCUGAAGGGAAAUUUUCUUCAGUUUCAAAUCAACCAUGUGUUGAGGGAAUUUAAUGCGGAUGCUGAUGCCCAAGCUAACUUUGCUGUUGAACUUCCUGUUGGUGAAAUUCAAGAGCAGUCAAACUUCCCAUGCUAG
RNAcentral lists this ribosomal RNA (1044 nucleotides) under Triticum aestivum (bread wheat). RNAcentral's name for it is "partial small subunit ribosomal RNA". The record is from RNAcentral. Lineage: Eukaryota; Viridiplantae; Streptophyta; Magnoliopsida; Poales; Poaceae.